Molecule: non-coding RNA, 1818 nt
Organism: Camelina sativa (false flax)
Lineage: Eukaryota; Viridiplantae; Streptophyta; Magnoliopsida; Brassicales; Brassicaceae
Source: RefSeq, a predicted model, not a curated record
UCGGAGAAGCAAAACAAAAUUAGGUUCAAAAGAUUAUGCAUAUAAACAAAACAGACUAACACGAAAUCAUAGAAUCUCAAAAGAAGCCAUAUUUCUCACCUAUGAAGGAAGAAACUUUUGCAAACUCUCGAGCCAAGUGAAGAGACUAACUAAAACCCUAAUUGGCUUAGGAUACAAGCAAGAGCGAGGCAGAACGUAUAAUUGAUUUCCUUUCUUAAAUGUUCGGAAAUUAAUGGAUUGGAAAAAUGGAAAUUAGUAAAAGAAAUUUCAUUACUAAAUAGAGUAAAUAGGAAAUUAUUAUCUCAGAGAAUAUUCUUUUGUAUUGGAAACAACUUUGAAAAAAAGUAAGGAAGAUAUUAUGUUUUGAUUCUUAUUGUUAGAGGACAUAAUGGUUUUAAGCAAGUUAGGAGACUACAUACACAUUGGCAAUGAAAGGAGAACUUGCUCUUGUUCCACUCUACAUUAUUAGACUAAAGUUGCAAGAGGUUUAUAACAUCCUAAAGAAACCAUGAAAGGAAUCUUCUCUGCAGCAAACUCCUCAAUUCUUCUUUUCGGUUGUUGAUUCGCAACACAUCCACAGUUAGACCUUGCCUUCGAUGACAUUGAUGAAGGCUUCAAGGUAAAACUAACAGAAGGCCAAGAAGUACUUCUCUCAGAAGAAGAUUCUUUUUCGGUGCUUUUGUCUGCUGCUUUAUUUUGGACACUACUCCAUUGUUGUUUCUGUUCAGAAGGUUUAUUGGUUCUUUUGUCAGGUGCUUUAUUUUGGACACCACUGCACUGUUGUUGCUGUUGAGAAGCUUUAUUGGUUCUUCUUUUGUUUGGAGUUUUCCCGGUUUCAAUGAAAGGUUGUCUACAAUUUGGACAAACUUUUUCCUUGUUCAGAUUAGAAUCCCUCGGACAUUGCCAUUCUGUCUUGCAUCUUCUGCACAUUGACCAAAACAUAAUAGGUUCCCUCUGUUUUGAUGCAUCCGCGGGAAACGCAUACUCAGUACUUCUUGCUUCCUUCCUCGUAUGCAAACCAUCUUGUUGUUGGUUUGUUGAUUUCUGCAUAUUAAUCUUUGCUUUGUUCGACUUCCUUCUUUGAUAAUAAGAAGCUCUCUUAACCUUAUCAGACAACAAAGACCAAGCUUCUAAAACCAGUUUAAAGGCACCUUCCGCUCCAUCAAACUUGUUCUUGUCCGGAUGAAGCAAAAGAGCUAACUGCUUGUAGGUCUUCUUCACUGCUUCAUCAUCCGCUAAAGGAUCGACACCGAGAAUCCUGUACCAAUCAGAUUCUUCUCCUCCGUUUGACGCAGAUUUAUAAACACCGAUCAUCAUCGACACUUGCUUCAAACCAUCGAGAUUUGGAUACAAACGCUGAGCCUUGAUAACAAAUUUCUUCGCCCCAUCGUAAUCAUUCUCCGAGAGUUUCCUCACAGCAAUCUCCGUGGCUCUUCUAGCUUCUUCCAUCUUCUCUUCAGAUACAAAUCCAGAGGAUAACACAGAGAUCGGAAAAGGAAAAAACGAAUAGAGAUUUGGAGCAACUCAGUGGACGAUAUAACAAAACCCGUUAAAGAUCUCUCCCUGGUUUUGAUUGAGAUCAACUAAAACCCUUAAAAAAUCGCAAUAGAAGCAAGAGCGCUUGGUAUAAGUAAUUUAUAGACGAUGCUUUUCCAAUUUCCAAAAAGAAGAUUUCCUUUUCCUUUCCUUUUCUUAAGGGGAUUAUUAUAUUAAAGGGAAAAUUACAAAUUAAUUGAGAAAGAAAAGGAAAAUAUUAUCUCGGUGACUAUGUUGUUGAUAUUGAUUUUAGCUUUUUUAAAAUAAAAUUAUUGGAGACAA